AAUGGCAGAAGUAUGUUCUUUUUAAUAAAUCAAUUUUUCUUUCUCUUUUGUUUAACCUUAUAUUUGAUAUUAAGAAUACAUAUUAUCUUUUGAAACUUUGAGAGAGUUUAAUAAAACCAUAUAUUGAUUUUUUUUAAUUUUUCUAUAUGUCGAAAACACUGGAGAUAUUCUUUGCGAAUUGUAUGAACCUUCGACCAGCAAGAAAUUUCGUGAUGAGAUUCGUGAUUUUACGUUUCAACUAACCCAAAAUCGUUUGACGUUUACCGCUUGCAGAUUCUACGAUCUAGAUCAUACAUUUAUAUAUAGUGCGAUAGGUUCGAUUACUACCUAUCUCGUUAUUCUUAUUCAAGUUGGAGAUAAACCUAAAGUAUUCUUAAACAAUACGAAUUAUAAUUUAACGUUAGAAAUAUAACGAAAGAAUUAAAAU
Molecule: long non-coding RNA, 427 nt
Organism: Vespa velutina
Lineage: Eukaryota; Metazoa; Arthropoda; Insecta; Hymenoptera; Vespidae
Exons: 3
Source: RefSeq, a predicted model, not a curated record